Molecule: ribosomal RNA, 879 nt
Filed under: uncultured bacterium
Lineage: Bacteria
Description: bacterial SSU rRNA
Rfam family: Bacterial small subunit ribosomal RNA
Source: RNAcentral
AGAGUUUGAUCCUGGCUCAGGAUGAACGCUGGCGGCGUGCCUAACACAUGCAAGUCGAGCGAUUCUUCUUCGGAGAAGAGCGGCGGACGGGUGAGUAACGCGUGGGUAACCUGCCCUGUACACACGGAUAACAUACCGAAAGGUAUGCUAAUACGGGAUAACAUAUUUUGAUGGCAUCAUCGAAAUAUCAAAGCUCCGGCGGUACAGGAUGGACCCGCGUCUGAUUAGCUAGUUGGUGAGGUAAUGGCUCACCAAGGCGACGAUCAGUAGCCGACCUGAGAGGGUGAUCGGCCACAUUGGAACUGAGACACGGUCCAAACUCCUACGGGAGGCAGCAGUGGGGAAUAUUGCACAAUGGGCGAAAGCCUGAUGCAGCAACGCCGCGUGAGCGAUGAAGGCCUUCGGGUCGUAAAGCUCUGUCCUCAAGGAAGAUAAUGACGGUACUUGAGGAGGAAGCCCCGGCUAACUACGUGCCAGCAGCCGCGGUAAUACGUAGGGGGCUAGCGUUAUCCGGAAUUACUGGGCGUAAAGGGUGCGUAGGUGGUUUUUUAAGUCAGAAGUGAAAGGCUACGGCUCAACCGUAGUAAGCUUUUGAAACUGAGAAACUUGAGUGCAGGAGAGGAGAGUAGAAUUCCUAGUGUAGCGGUGAAAUGCGUAGAUAUUAGGAGGAAUACCAGUUGCGAAGGCGGCUCUCUGGACUGUAACUGACACUGAGGCACGAAAGCGUGGGGAGCAAACAGGAUUAGAUACCCUGGUAGUCCACGCCGUAAACGAUGAGUACUAGGUGUCGGGGGUUACCCCCCUCGGUGCCGCAGCUAACGCAUUAAGUACUCCGCCUGGGAAGUACGCUCGCAAGAGUGAAACUCAAAUGAAUUGACG